Molecule: unclassified non-coding RNA, 334 nt
Filed under: soil metagenome
Description: partial contains 5.8S ribosomal RNA, internal transcribed spacer 2, and large subunit ribosomal RNA
Rfam family: 5.8S ribosomal RNA (bases 1-120)
Source: RNAcentral
GAUGAAGAACGCAGCGAAAUGCGAUACGUAAUGUGAAUUGCAGAAUUCAGUGAAUCAUCGAAUCUUUGAACGCACAUUGCGCCCGCCAGUAUUCUGGCGGGCAUGCCUGUUCGAGCGUCAUUUCAACCAUCAAGCCCUGCUUGCGUUGGGGUCCUGCGGCUGCCCGCAGGCCCUGAAAACCAGUGGCGGGCUCGCUAGUCACACCGAGCGCAGUAAUACAUCUCGCUUUGGGCGUGCGGCGGGUUCUUGCCGUUAAACACCCCCUUUUUACCAAGGUUGACCUCGGAUCAGGUAGGAAUACCCGCUGAACUUAAGCAUAUCAAUAAGCGGAGGA